This 764-nucleotide ribosomal RNA is filed under the name uncultured bacterium. Its description in RNAcentral is "bacterial SSU rRNA". It matches the Rfam family "Bacterial small subunit ribosomal RNA", at positions 605 to 1372 of the family's 1533-position model. The record is from RNAcentral.
CAGCUCAACUGUGGAACUGCCUUUGAUACUGUCAGUCUAGAGUAUAGUUGAAGUUGGCGGAAUGUGUCAUGUAGCGGUGAAAUGCUUAGAUAUGACACAGAACACCGAUCGCGAAGGCAGCUGACUAAGCUAUAACUGACGCUCAUGCACGAAAGCGUGGGGAUCAAACAGGAUUAGAUACCCUGGUAGUCCACGCUGUAAACGAUGAUUACUCGAUGUUGGCGAUAUACUGUCAGCGUCUGAGCGAAAGCAAUAAGUAAUCCACCUGGGGAGUACGAUCGCAAGAUUGAAACUCAAAGGAAUUGACGGGGGCCCGCACAAGCGGAGGAGCAUGUGGUUUAAUUCGAUGAUACGCGAGGAACCUUACCUGGGCUCGAACGUGAGAUGACUAUGGGUGAAAGCUCAUAUCCCUUCGGGGCAUCUUACGAGGUGCUGCAUGGUUGUCGUCAGCUCGUGCCGUGAGGUGUCGGGUUAAGUCCCAUAACGAGCGCAACCCCUACCUUUAGUUGCCAACAGGUCAUGCUGGGGACUCUAAAGGAACUGCCUACGCAAGUAGUGAGGAAGGCGGGGAUGACGUCAAAUCAGCACGGCCCUUACGUCCAGGGCUACACACGUGCUACAAUGGCCGAUACAGAGGGCAGCUACCUGGUGACAGGAUGCAAAUCUCGAAAGUCGGUCUCAGUUCGGAUCGGAGUCUGCAACCCGACUCCGUGAAGUUGGAUUCGCUAGUAAUCGCGCAUCAGCCAUGGCGCGGUGAAUACGUU